Long non-coding RNA from Harpia harpyja (harpy eagle), 873 nucleotides. RefSeq lists it as uncharacterized. The record is from RefSeq and is a predicted model, not a curated record. The transcript is spliced from 9 exons. Lineage: Eukaryota; Metazoa; Chordata; Aves; Accipitriformes; Accipitridae.
GUGGGAUGGGCCAAGUGAUGGACUUAUAUGAGUAAAGUUUCAGGCAAGCAAAUUCCGUAAGUGACCCAGGUUUAGCAAAAGAAGUUGGUACAGCUAUCCCAUUCUCAUCUCCAGAGUAACCCAGCACUGGCCAGUUUUUCUGCACCAUGUUCUGUACCACUUCAUCAGCUGAAUUCCAUGGACAGCAAAAGAAUAUGUUCCUGUGCCCCCUAUAACGUGGCCCCAGGCAGCAGAAAGGUUCAUACAUCCCAUAUGGAGCUUUAUGACUUGAGGGGUGAGAAAAUAAGAGUAUCUCUCGGAAAUUCUACUGUCUCCAGCACAGAGCCUACAGAUACAAGAGAUAUGUUGACACUGUCCUAUUCAAGGAGAUGGAAAAAAGAUGGCUGUGACAGAAAGGACAAGCUUUUUUCAAGUCUUUGUUCAACAAGGCCCACUCUCUCUUGAUGGGAAGACAGGUGAUCAAGUGACAUCUAUACCAGGUCUAGCAGUUCUCAUACCAUGGAUUCUGUUGUGCUUGAUGCCUUAUCCUUUCUCAGUGAUGUAAAUACAGAGUGCACCAGAAGAACUUUAUAUGGUGUGUCUCAGUUGCUUGGCACUUGAGAAAUUAAUGGCAGGAAGAAUGAACCCUGUGUACAGGAAGUGCAGAAGUAAAGCAGUAAGGAGCCACUUUUUGGAAUUAGUUGCUUCAUUGUAUCAGCCAACACCUGGUAAUGUAGAGAACGACUGGAUUAUAUGGAUUAUACAAUUACCAGUUCUUGGUAAGCAAAAUAAGGCACAAAGAGGUAACUUGGACCUGUUGAGCAUCACAGAACAGGUCACUAGAGCAGAGCCAGCAAUACUAUCGAGUCCUUUUCAUUAUCAAGCAAGUAGGCC